CAGUAAGAAAAGAACUCACUAGGAAAGCUGUUGAAAGGAUGCUCAUAGCCAAACCGAAGAACUACAAGUGGUCGUGAUGAGAAACCAAAGUAAAUCAAUGAGAUCCCCAUUUUCACACAGCAGAUUAGGGCAAGUUGGGAACUACUCAGAUUUGGGGGGGUUCAGGUAUUGGGGGAUCCUAGCAUCACUCCCUGACUCUCACCCACAGUUGAAGGGGGGGGACAUAUUGCAGGUGGGUGGAGCAGGAUGUGGGCACACCAGUGGGUGGGGUGGGUCAGGGUGGAGGCACCGGAAGUUUAUUCACUGCUCAGUUUAUUCACUGCUGGCCUGGUUUCUGCAAGGGAGGACUUCCCCCGGCACUCCCAGCCUCUCACCACACUCCCCAGGGCCAAGUGAGUCGGUUGCUUCCUACUCAAGGUUCACACGUGACCAUCACCUUGGCCUAGUGGGUCUGGGUGCGCCUGCGCAUCAGAACCAGCUGGAUGGCUUUUAAUCCACGUGGGCACUUGGCCCCACUCCUCAGGUAUUAGAUGCGUGGCCCGGGGUAGGGACUGGGCACCAGUUCUUUUAAAGCUUGUCUGCGACAUGAGUGCCUCCACAUGGGAGGAGUGGAAGGCAGGGGUGGAGGGAGGCCCCACUAUGUUCUAGUGUAACCCAAACAAGGCAACAAAGGUCAAGUUCCCAUCCCAGGUGCAGACCCUCCGUCCACCCACCCCUAUUUGCUGGCCUGUAGUUCUUGCUUUGAACCUCAGUGAUUCAGGGUCCUGAGCCAGUCCUGCCAGCAGAGGGCAGCAAGCGUAUGGUAAAUGAGGGUUCCCCAUUCCUGAAAAGGACCUUAGAAAUCAUUGCAUCCAAAUUCUUCAGAUAGAGAUGAGAAAAAAAAGGAGAUGCAGAGAGGAAAGCCUUGGAGCCCAAAAUCUCACGGAGAGAAAAGUGCUCCUUUCUUUUAGCUCUCCCUCAGCGAACACCUCAUGCCAGUCAGGCGCUGGGUUCUGGGAUCUGGAUAUGACAAGGGCCCUGCCCCUUGGAGAAACACACUUCCAAGCACAUCAUGGUACUAGAUGUGUAAAGUUUUCUAGAAUGGGCUUUGGAGGAGUGGAAGGCUAGUUCUUGGGAGACCAUUUAUUUAGCCAUUCAGGAAUUUGUAUGGAGUCAGCACAUACUAUGGAGCAGAUACUGUGCUAGGCCCAGGAGGUGUGACUAACAACACUGGCUCUUUUACUCCCUUGAGACUCUCUCUCUCUCUCUCUCUAUCAGGAUACAAUCCAGUGGAUGAGGAGGAUGGAAAACAGAUGAAGAGCAUGCACCCCAGACAUUUGGGACCUAGGAGGCUGGAGUGGGGGGGCAGGGACCAAGGUCUACACUGAGACCUUUCUGAUGAAAAGUGGGUGGGUUUGUUUUGAUGUGUGUUCAAACAAACCAAUGAAAAACAAAUACCAUGGAUCAAUCAGGGGACUUUGAAACCAGCUGGAUAUUUGAUCCUUAAAAAAAAAUUAUGGCCCAUUUUGUUUUUAGUGUAAUGAUGGCAUUGGGGUCAUGUUUUAGAAAAGACUUCUCAUUUUAAAGAUAUAUAUGCUGAAUAUUGACAGAUGGCUGGAUAUAUAUGAUGUCUGAAUAUUUUUAAAAGUUGGAAGUGGAGGAAGAAGAGUGUGGAAAUCAAUGAAGCUGGGUGGCUCCAGGUGGGUCCUAUUGAGGUGGGUGACAGGUAGAGAGCCUUCUAAUUUAUAAAUGCUAACACUCUGCAUAAUAAAAAGGUAAAUAAAAAGUUUAAGUGACAA
Long non-coding RNA from Marmota flaviventris (yellow-bellied marmot), 1778 nucleotides. RefSeq lists it as uncharacterized. Lineage: Eukaryota; Metazoa; Chordata; Mammalia; Rodentia; Sciuridae. The record is from RefSeq and is a predicted model, not a curated record.